AGCGGCGGACGGGUGAGUAACGCGUGGGUAACCGUGCCUCAUACAGGGGGAUAACAGUUGGAAACGGCUGCUAAUACCGCAUAAGCGCACAGACCGCAUGGUACGUGUGAAAAACUCCGGUGGUAUGAGAUGGACCCGCGUCUGAUUAGCUAGUUGGUGGGGUAACGGCCUACCAAGGCGACGAUCAGUAGCCGACCUGAGAGGGUGACCGGCCACAUUGGGACUGAGACACGGCCCAA
This 239-nucleotide ribosomal RNA is filed under the name uncultured bacterium. Its description in RNAcentral is "partial 16S ribosomal RNA". It matches the Rfam family "Bacterial small subunit ribosomal RNA", at positions 94 to 334 of the family's 1533-position model. The record is from RNAcentral.